Molecule: ribosomal RNA, 249 nt
Filed under: uncultured bacterium
Lineage: Bacteria
Description: partial 16S ribosomal RNA
Rfam family: Bacterial small subunit ribosomal RNA
Source: RNAcentral
GAGGGCUCAAGCGUUGUUCGGAUUCAUUGGGCGUAAAGGGGGCGUAGGCGGCGCGGUAAGUCGGGUGCGAAAUCUCGGAGCUUAACUCCGAAACUGCAUUCGAUACUGCCGUGCUUGAGGACUGGAGAGGAGACUGGAAUUUACGGUGUAGCGGUGAAAUGCGUAGAUAUCGUAAGGAAGACCAGUGGCGAAGGCGGGUCUCUGGACAGUUCCUGACGCUGAGGCACGAAGGUCAGGGGAGCAAACGGG